Molecule: ribosomal RNA, 465 nt
Filed under: uncultured bacterium
Lineage: Bacteria
Description: partial 16S ribosomal RNA
Rfam family: Bacterial small subunit ribosomal RNA
Source: RNAcentral
CCUACGGGAGGCAGCAGUAGGGAAUCUUCCACAAUGGGCGAAAGCCUGAUGGAGCAACGCCGCGUGGGUGAAGAAGGUCUUCGGAUCGUAAAACCCUGUUGUUAGAGAAGAAUGUGCGUGAGAGUAACUGUUCACGUUUCGACGUUAUCUUACCAGGAAGCCACGGCUAACUACGUGCCAGCAGCCGCGGUAAUACGUAGGGGGCAAGCGUUAUCCGGAUUUAUUGGGCGUAAAGGGCACGCAGGCGGUCUUUUAAGUCUGAUGGUAAAGCCUCGGGCUUAACCUGAGUAGUGCAUUGGAAACGGGGAGACUUGAGUGCAGAAGAGGAGAGUAGAACUCCAUGUGUAGCGGUGAAAUGCGGAGAUAUAUGGAAGAACACCAGUGGCGAAGGCGGCUCUCUGGUCUGUAACUGACGCUGAGGUUCGAAAGCGUGGGUAGCAAACAGGAUUAGAUACCCGUGUAGUC